GAGAUUCGCAAUGUGUUGGAUCUAAUGCGCAGGGGAGAGAGCUUAAGAUUUGAGGACGUUAUGAUCCUCGAUCAGUCAGGGUUCUUUGGGAUGGUGGAUAUUCAGGAUCGCCAUCGUGAUAUGCGUCUUGAUGUUGAUAACAUGUCCUAUGAGGAACUACUGGCGCUUGAGGAGCGCAUAGGGAAUGUCUGCACCGGGCUAACUGAAGAAACCAUUUUGAAUCGUCUGAAGCAACGGAAACAUGUUAGCAUUAGAACAGAAGAAACCAAUGAUGCUGAGCCAUGCUGUAUUUGUCAGGAAGAAUACAAGGAUGGUGAGGAUCUUGGGAAGCUGGAUUGUGGCCAUGAUUUUCAUGCCGACUGCGUUAAACAAUGGCUCAUGCAGAAGAAUUUGUGCCCAAUUUGCAAAACAACAGGACUCAAUACUUCAGGAAAACAUUGAUCCAUGGAAGUUUGAUGUACCAGUUGGACCAUGGAAGGUUGACACAAAGCGUGUCUACGCGUUUGGUCCAUGAGUUCAUUCUGAGUGAGAAAGAUCUAUGUAUUUUUCUCAUUAAUUUUAUUCUGACCUCUGCUUAGAGGGAGUUAUUUUAGAGAUAGAAGAAGCACUAGCUACAAUUAGGGUCAUUAGGCAAGAGUUAUACAUUAUUUGGUU
RNAcentral lists this unclassified non-coding RNA (654 nucleotides) under Hevea brasiliensis (rubber tree). Lineage: Eukaryota; Viridiplantae; Streptophyta; Magnoliopsida; Malpighiales; Euphorbiaceae. The record is from RNAcentral.